Molecule: ribosomal RNA, 1025 nt
Filed under: Staphylococcus sp. 16b-5B
Lineage: Bacteria; Bacillati; Bacillota; Bacilli; Caryophanales; Staphylococcaceae
Description: bacterial SSU rRNA
Rfam family: Bacterial small subunit ribosomal RNA
Source: RNAcentral
GAACGCUGGCGGCGUGCCUAAUACAUGCAAGUCGAGCGAACAGAUAAGGAGCUUGCUCCUUUGACGUUAGCGGCGGACGGGUGAGUAACACGUGGAUAACCUACCUAUAAGACUGGGAUAACUUCGGGAAACCGGAGCUAAUACCGGAUAACAUAUUGAACCGCAUGGUUCAAUAGUGAAAGGCGGCUUUGCUGUCACUUAUAGAUGGAUCCGCGCCGUAUUAGCUAGUUGGUAAGGUNACGGCUUACCAAGGCAACGAUACGUAGCCGACCUGAGAGGGUGAUCGGCCACACUGGAACUGAGACACGGUCCAGACUCCUACGGGAGGCAGCAGUAGGGAAUCUUCCGCAAUGGGCGAAAGCCUGACGGAGCAACGCCGCGUGAGUGAUGAAGGUCUUCGGAUCGUAAAACUCUGUUAUCAGGGAAGAACAAAUGUGUAAGUAACUGUGCACAUCUUGACGGUACCUGAUCAGAAAGCCACGGCUAACUACGUGCCAGCAGCCGCGGUAAUACGUAGGUGGCAAGCGUUAUCCGGAAUUAUUGGGCGUAAAGCGCGCGUAGGCGGUUUUUUAAGUCUGAUGUGAAAGCCCACGGCUCAACCGUGGAGGGUCAUUGGAAACUGGAAAACUUGAGUGCAGAAGAGGAAAGUGGAAUUCCAUGUGUAGCGGUGAAAUGCGCAGAGAUAUGGAGGAACACCAGUGGCGAAGGCGACUUUCUGGUCUGUAACUGACGCUGAUGUGCGAAAGCGUGGGGAUCAAACAGGAUUAGAUACCCUGGUAGUCCACGCCGUAAACGAUGAGUGCUAAGUGUUAGGGGGUUUCCGCCCCUUAGUGCUGCAGCUAACGCAUUAAGCACUCCGCCUGGGGAGUACGACCGCAAGGUUGAAACUCAAAGGAAUUGACGGGGACCCGCACAAGCGGUGGAGCAUGUGGUUUAAUUCGAAGCAACGCGAAGAACCUUACCAAAUCUUGACAUCCUUUGACCGCUCUAGAGAUAGAGUCUUCCCCUUCGGGGACAAAGACAGG